GAGAAACAGACUCAGUCCUGCAGCUGAACUUCUUUAAUCUUCAUCUGUAUUCACGCUGAGUUCACAGAUUAGAGAUUUCACAUCAGAAUCCAGGUCUGUGUUGAUCCUCUUAGUGAGGCUGAUCCUGACUACAACAACUCCAUUACCCAUAAGCCCCUGAAAGCUGAUCACAGGUGACACCAGCCCGACCUUCUUUCCCUCAGCGUACGGAUCGAUCGGCGUUUCAGUCUGAAGAUGUUAUCUGAGUCUGAGCUUCAGACUUUAGAGGAGCAGUGAUGGAGGUCCAGGUGGAGGUCCAGGUGGAGGUCCAGGUUCUGGUUCAUCCAAAGGUUCUGAAUGUGGUUCUGAGUUCUGG
Molecule: non-coding RNA, 355 nt
Organism: Xyrichtys novacula (pearly razorfish)
Lineage: Eukaryota; Metazoa; Chordata; Actinopteri; Labriformes; Labridae
Source: the annotation of a GenBank genome assembly